This 84-nucleotide transfer RNA is filed under the name Vagococcus salmoninarum. It matches the Rfam family "tRNA". Rfam says of the family: Transfer RNA (tRNA) molecules are approximately 80 nucleotides in length. Their secondary structure includes four short double-helical elements and three loops (D, anti-codon, and T loops). Further hydrogen bonds mediate the characteristic L-shaped molecular structure. tRNAs have two regions of fundamental functional importance: the anti-codon, which is responsible for specific mRNA codon recognition, and the 3' end, to which the tRNAs corresponding amino acid is attached (by aminoacyl-tRNA synthetases). tRNAs cope with the degeneracy of the genetic code in two manners: having more than one tRNA (with a specific anti-codon) for a particular amino acid; and 'wobble' base-pairing, i.e. permitting non-standard base-pairing at the 3rd anti-codon position. Lineage: Bacteria; Bacillati; Bacillota; Bacilli; Lactobacillales; Enterococcaceae. The record is from Rfam by way of RNAcentral. RNAcentral also lists the same sequence under 2 other names.
GCCGGUGUGGCGGAAUUGGCAGACGCGCUGGACUCAAAAUCCUGUGACCGCAAGGUCGUGCCGGUUCGACCCCGGCCAUCGGUA